UACGUAGGGUGCGAGCGUUAAUCGGAAUUACUGGGCGUAAAGCGUGCGCAGGCGGUUUGUUAAGACAGAUGUGAAAUCCCCGGGCUUAACCUGGGAACCGCAUUUGUGACUGGCAAGCUAGAGUAUGGCAGAGGGGGGUAGAAUUCCACGUGUAGCAGUGAAAUGCGUAGAGAUGUGGAGGAAUACCGAUGGCGAAGGCAGCCCCCUGGGCCAAUACUGGACGCUCAUGCACGAAAGCGUGGGGAG
RNAcentral lists this ribosomal RNA (246 nucleotides) under uncultured bacterium. Its description in RNAcentral is "partial 16S ribosomal RNA". It matches the Rfam family "Bacterial small subunit ribosomal RNA", at positions 524 to 768 of the family's 1533-position model. The record is from RNAcentral.